Sus scrofa (pig) is the source of this 3333-nucleotide non-coding RNA. NCBI's taxonomy places the organism in Eukaryota, Metazoa, Chordata, Mammalia, Artiodactyla, Suidae. The record is from RefSeq and is a predicted model, not a curated record.
CCUUAACCCACUGAGCAGGGCUGGGGAGCAAACCCACAUCCUCAUGGACACUAUUCAGGCAGGGGCAGCUCAGUAAGACCAGCAAGACAAACUCUCCUGAAUCUGGUUUAGAUCAGGAAAGCCAAGGAUGAUGAAAGAAUUGCAAUGAUAAGCCAUGUUUGGAGCAAUCCGUCUGUGACAACAGAGAAGCAAAGACUGGAAAUACCUGUGUUGGUGAGGAUGCGGAGCAUCCAGGACCCUCAUCCACUGCUGGUUUUGCCUCUGAAAACAAGAUAUGGGACCAUGCCCAGUUUCCGCUCAUCCUAUACGGGAGAAUGUUGGUGAUCAGCGCCCUAUAUAUAAGGCUCCAGGCCUUGGUCUACUUCACGUCUGGGGCCACCACCCAGGUUUGUUUUUCUGCAUGGACUUUCUUCAAGGACCCUCUUCACAUACAGUUUGCUGUGGGUUUACAGUAAACCCAUUGGGUUUACUGGAGCAUAUGACUGCCAGCACCCCUUGGACAGGCCUUUCUCUCAUCAGGCCCAAGGAACCUUCUCUGUGUCUGUGCACGGGAUGAAUACACUGAAAGCGUUUGGUCCUUUAACGUGGUUGCAGCAAGCUUCCCGUGAUGACCUACUGCCGAGAGCUGUCUGCCUGGGACCAGGAGCUGGUGUGAGCAUCCCAUGAGGUUGUGCGAGUCCAUCAAGCUCCUCUCCUUGAAUAAUACCUGCCCCACCUGCUCCCUGGAUUUCAGUGACCCCUCGGAGAUCAUCGCGGAUCUGGCCAUUUCCCAAAUACUGAAGCUCUGUAUUCAUGGUUGACCUGGGCAUCCACACUGCCAUGAUCUGUCUGACAUGUGAGUAAAAGGCAGACAGCCUUGCUUUUCUCCUGUUUCUCCACUGGGCCCUAGAAAUUUCCAGGCGUCAGGCCACCAAGACCUCCAUGCAGUAAGAGAGGGAUGGUUCCUCAGACCAAAAAUGGGCUUCCACACCAAAAGAAGAGGGAGUUGAAGGGGGCAGGGGGUUGUUAAAUAGCAACAGAUGUCCACACAAAGUGGACAUCACCAUCCAGAUGACAGACGUCCCCAGGUAAGGGUAACUUCAAGGAAGCAGGAAGAAGCAGAUUCGAUGGUAGUCAACUUAAAGAAAUGAUCAAGUAACAAAAAGAGUAAAGACUGUAGAUCAAGACGAAACUAAGUUCAACCCCCAGCCCUCUGUUUGUAAAGGGGUUACUCGGAAAACCUGAACAAUAUUCCGUGAGCUUUCUGGAAUUGCAAUCAGUCUAGAUAGAGCUUUAUCACUUUUAUUGAUUUUUUUGAAACUAACUUUUAGUUUCAUUGCUGGUUUUUCCAUUUUCAGUUUCAUGAGUUUCUUCUCUUAGGAGUAUUAUUUCUUCCCUUCAGCUUGCUUUGGGUGAAGUUUUUUUCCUAUUUUCUUGACAUGGAGCUUACAUCAUUGAUUAGAGACUUACCUUCUUUUCUAAUAUAAGCAUUUAAUGUUAUAAAAUGUCUUCUAAGCCUGCAUUCAUAUAGUAGUCAUAUGUAGUUAUUAAGUAUUUGAAUUGCGACCAGUCUGAGUUUAGAUGUGCUAUAGUGUAAAAUAAACACCAGAUUUGGGGAAUUUAGUACAAAAGUGUGAAAUAUCUCAUUAGUCAUUUUUAUGUGGUUACAAAAGAAAUAGUAAUUAUUUUGGAUAUAUUAUGUUUAGUGAAGUAUUUAAAAUUAAUUCUACCUAUUUUCUUUUUUCUUCUUUCAAUGUGAUUAGUAGACAAAUUAAAAUUACAUAUGUGACUUGCAUUCGUGGCUCACACUAUAUUUUUAUUGGACAUCGCUGCUCUAAACUCUGCUCUAACUCCACCCUCACAUUUUGAUAUGUUGUAUUUUCUUUACAUUCAAUUCAAAAUAUUUUCUAAUUAUCAUCACAACUUUCUUUUAAGCAUGGGUUAUUUAGAAAUGUGUUGUUUAAUUUCCACAUGUUUAGUGAGUUUCCAGAUAUCCAUCUGUUACUGAUUUCUACUUUAUGUUUUUGUCAGAGAACAUUCUUUUUGUAUGUUUUCAGUUCUUAGAAACUUGUGUGUUUGUUUUAUGGCCCAGAAUAUAGUUUAUCUUAGUAUGUGCAUGUGUACUUGAAAAGAAUGUAUAUUUUGCCGGUGUUAGAUGGAACAUACUCUGAAGUUUAGUAGGCCAAGUUGAUUGAUGGUAUUGUUCAAGUCUUAUAUAUCCUUACUGAUUUUCCAUCUAUUCCACUGAUUACUGGGAAGAGAGUAUUGAAGUUUCCAAAUAUACCUGUGAAGUUGUGUAUUUCAUCUUUCAGAUCCAUCAGUUUCGUGUAUUUUGAAGCUUUGUUGUUAGAUUCAUACAUGUUUACAUCAUUUAGAUUUGUCUUGAUCAGUUGACCAUUUAAUCACUAUAUAAUGUCUCUCUUUAUCUCUGAGGAUAUUCCUUGUUCCAGAGUCCACUUUGUCUAUUAAUACAGCCUCUCCAUGGUUCUUUAUAUUAAGAAAAUAUAAAAAUUUGCAUGAAAUACAUUCUCUCCCAUAAUUUUAAGAUUUACAUCUUUAUAGUUUAAGUGGGCUUUUACAUCCAAUUUGCCUAUCUCUUAUCUUUUUUUUUUUUUUUUUUGACCACACCUAUGACAUGCAGAAAUUCCCAGGCCAGGGAUAGAACCUGGGCCACAGCAGCAACCUGGGCCACAGCAGUGACAAACCAGCUCCUUAAUGCACUGAGCCACCCAAGAACUCCUAACUGUCUCUGUCUUUUAAUUUGUAUUUAGACUAUUUAUAUUUAAUGUGAUUCUUGAUAUGGCUGGAUUAAUAUCUAGCCUUUUGCUAAUUGUUUUCUAUUUGUUUAAUCUGAUCUUUGCCAUGUCUUUCUGCUUCCUCUUUGAUUGAAUAUUUAUUAAAAAUCUGCCUUAUUAUGUAUGACUCUCUUAGUAGUUGCCCAGUGAUUUACAACAUGCAUCUUUAACUAAUCAAAAAUUACUUUCAAAUGAUAUACCAUUUCAUGUACAAUUUAAGAAGCUUACAGUGGUAUACUACCAGGUCCUCUCCUCCAUAGUUGUGCCUUUUUUGUAAGAUAUUUAUUUUUAUGUAUGCUAUAAACCCACAAUACAUUGCUUCUAAUUUUUCUUUAAACCAGAGGUUGUCAAACUUUUUCUUAAAGGGCCAGAUAGCAAGUAUUUUAGUCUUUCAUUCCACACAGCCUCUAUUGCAACUGUUAACCCUGCCAUAAUAACUCAAAAGCAGCCAUAGAGAAUGUGGAGAAAAGGAAGCCCUCGUACAUUGUUGGUGGUAAUGUAAAUUGAUGCAGCCACUGUGGAAAACAGUAUAGAGGUUUCUCAAAAAGCUAAAAAUAGA